CAUAAAGAUAACUUGCACAAAUAAUGGUCUGCAGUACUCGGCAAUCGACGAAGCGACCACAGUUAUAGGGGCCAGAUUCUGCAGAAAGUCAGACCACCACUGUUUCAAGCGCAUCAAAAAGCAAUGAAGGCUGCUGUGACAAUACUCCAUCUUGCACUGGCAGGAAUUCUACUUUUGACGGCGAAGUCAGGCACUGCCAUUACCUGCGGAGAGCCUCAAGAAGGGUGCCCGCCACCGACAGCUGAGAAGAACGUUACGCUCUACUUUUACAACUACGCGAUUAAUGACUGCUUCGGCGUCGACACCAGCGGCUGCGAAGGCUACGGAUGGGGAACUCAUUUCGAUUGUUGGGCGAAUUGUCGCCACAUUUAGGGCGUUGCAUUCUUGCUUACAUCGCAUUGAGCUUAAUGGCAGCAGAGUCGGUAUGACAACCAUAUGCUAAGAUAAGAAACGGCAGCCAUGCGGGUGUCGCUUAACGCAGUCCAAAUAAGGCCAGUAUGCUUCCUUACUCACCCAACGAUUUAUAAUAGCUUUUAUU
Dermacentor silvarum is the source of this 538-nucleotide long non-coding RNA. RefSeq lists it as uncharacterized. The record is from RefSeq and is a predicted model, not a curated record. NCBI's taxonomy places the organism in Eukaryota, Metazoa, Arthropoda, Arachnida, Ixodida, Ixodidae. The transcript has 3 exons.